This 357-nucleotide ribosomal RNA is filed under the name Tomosvaryella geniculata. RNAcentral's name for it is "partial 12S ribosomal RNA". Lineage: Eukaryota; Metazoa; Arthropoda; Insecta; Diptera; Pipunculidae. The record is from RNAcentral.
UAAAAAUUUAAUUUUAUAUAUUUAAGUAGUAUUAGUUAAGUUCUUGAAAUUUAAAAAAUUUGGCGGUAUUUUAGUCUAUUCAGAGGAACCUGUUUUGUAAUCGAUAAUCCACGAUGGAUCUUACUUAAAUUUGUUUUUAUAGUUUAUAUAUCGUCGUUUUCAGAAUAUUUUAUAAAAAUAAUAAUUUUCUAAAUUCUAAAUUAAGAAUUAUAUCAGAUCAAGAUGUAGCUUAUAUUUAAGUUUAUAAUGGGUUACAAUUUUUAUAUAAAUGGUAGUAAUUAUGAAAUUAUUUACUUAGAUUGGAUUUGAUAGUAAAUUUAUAUAGAUUAAUAAAUUGAUUUUAGCUCUAAAAUAUGU